Molecule: ribosomal RNA, 447 nt
Filed under: uncultured bacterium
Lineage: Bacteria
Description: partial 16S ribosomal RNA
Rfam family: Bacterial small subunit ribosomal RNA
Source: RNAcentral
AGCGAACGCUGGCGGCAGGCUUAACACAUGCAAGUCGAACGCCCCGCAAGGGGAGUGGCAGACGGGUGAGUAACACGUGGGAACGUACCCUUUGGUUCGGAAUAACUUGGGGAAACUCAAGCUAAUACCGGAUAAGCCCUUAUGGGGAAAGGUUUACUGCAGAAGGAUCGGCCCGCGUCUGAUUAGCUAGUUGGUGAGGUAAUGGCUCACAAAGGCGACGAUCAGUAGCUGGUCUGAGAGGAUGAUCAGCCACACUGGGACUGGGACACGGUGCAGACUCCUACGGGAGGCAGCAGUGGGGAAUAUUGGACAAUGGGGGCAACCCUGAUCCAGCCAUGCCGCGUGAGUGAUGAAGGCCUUAGGGUUGUAAAGCUCUUUUACCCGGGACGAUAAUGACUGUACCGGGAGAAUAAGCCCCGGCUAACUUCGUGCCAGCAGCCGCCGUAA